UGGGGAAUAUUGCACAAUGGGCGCAAGCCUGAUGCAGCGACGCCGCGUGAGGGAUGACGGCCUUCGGGUUGUAAACCUCUGUUAGCAUCGAAGAAGCGAAAGUGACGGUAGGUGCAGAGAAAGCGCCGGCUAACUACGUGCCAGUAGCCGCGGUAAUACGUAGGGCGCGAGCGUUGUCCGGAAUUAUUGGGCGUAAAGAGCUUGUAGGCGGUUGGUCGCGUCUGCUGUGAAAGGCCGGGGCUUAACUCCGGUUUUGCAGUGGGUACGGGCUAACUAGAGUGCAGUAGGGGAGACUGGAAUUCCUGGUGUAGCGGUGGAAUGCACAGAUAUCAGGAGGAACACCGAUGGCGAAGGCAGGUCUCUGGGCUGUAACUGACGCUGAGAAGCGAAAGCAUGGGGAGCGAACAGGAUUAGAUACCCUGGUAGUCCAUGCCGUAAACGUUGGGCACUAGGUGUGGGGGACAUUCCACGUUUUCCGCGCCGUAGCUAACGCAUUAAGUGCCCCGCCUGGGGAGUACGGCCGCAAGGCUA
This 531-nucleotide ribosomal RNA is filed under the name uncultured bacterium. RNAcentral describes it as "bacterial SSU rRNA". It matches the Rfam family "Bacterial small subunit ribosomal RNA", at positions 355 to 896 of the family's 1533-position model. The record is from RNAcentral.